GGGACACGUGGUAUCCUGUCUGAAUAUGGGGGGACCAUCCUCCAAGGCUAAAUACUCCUGACUGACCGAUAGUGAACCAGUACCGUGAGGGAAAGGCGAAAAGAACCCCGGCGAGGGGAGUGAAAAAGAACCUGAAACCGUGUACGUACAAGCAGUGGGAGCACGCUUAGGCGUGUGACUGCGUACCUUUUGUAUAAUGGGUCAGCGACUUAUAUUCUGUAGCAAGGUUAACCGAAUAGGGGAGCCGAAGGGAAACCGAGUCUUAACUGGGCGUUAAGUUGCAGGGUAUAGACCCGAAACCCGGUGAUCUAGCCAUGGGCAGGUUGAAGGUUGGGUAACACUAACUGGAGGACCGAACCGACUAAUGUUGAAAAAUUAGCGGAUGACUUGUGGCUGGGGGUGAAAGGCCAAUCAAACCGGGAGAUAGCUGGUUCUCCCCGAAAGCUAUUUAGGUAGCGCCUCGUGAAUUCAUCUCCGGGGGUAGAGCACUGUUUCGGCAAGGGGGUCAUCCCGACUUACCAACCCGAUGCAAACUGCGAAUACCGGAGAAUGUUAUCACGGGAGACACACGGCGGGUGCUAACGUCCGUCGUGAAGAGGGAAACAACCCAGACCGCCAGCUAAGGUCCCAAAGUCAUGGUUAAGUGGGAAACGAUGUGGGAAGGCCCAGACAGCCAGGAUGUUGGCUUAGAAGCAGCCAUCAUUUAAAGAAAGCGUAAUAGCUCACUGGUCGAGUCGGCCUGCGCGGAAGAUGUAACGGGGCUAAACCAUGCACCGAAGCUGCGGCAGCGACGCUUAUGCGUUGUUGGGUAGGGGAGCGUUCUGUAAGCCUGUGAAGGUGUGCUGUGAGGCAUGCUGGAGGUAUCAGAAGUGCGAAUGCUGACAUAAGUAACGAUAAAGCGGGUGAAAAGCCCGCUCGCCGGAAGACCAAGGGUUCCUGUCCAACGUUAAUCGGGGCAGGGUGAGUCGACCCCUAAGGCGAGGCCGAAAGGCGUAGUCGAUGGGAAACAGGUUAAUAUUCCUGUACUUGGUGUUACUGCGAAGGGGGGACGGAGAAGGCUAUGUUGGCCGGGCGACGGUUGUCCCGGUUUAAGCGUGUAGGCUGGUUUUCCAGGCAAAUCCGGAAAAUCAAGGCUGAGGCGUGAUGACGAGGCACUACGGUGCUGAAGCAACAAAUGCCCUGCUUCCAGGAAAAGCCUCUAAGCAUCAGGUAACAUCAAAUCGUACCCCAAACCGACACAGGUGGUCAGGUAGAGAAUACCAAGGCGCUUGAGAGAACUCGGGUGAAGGAACUAGGCAAAAUGGUGCCGUAACUUCGGGAGAAGGCACGCUGAUAUGUAGGUGAAGUCCCUCGCGGAUGGAGCUGAAAUCAGUCGAAGAUACCAGCUGGCUGCAACUGUUUAUUAAAAACACAGCACUGUGCAAACACGAAAGUGGACGUAUACGGUGUGACGCCUGCCCGGUGCCGGAAGGUUAAUUGAUGGGGUCAGCGCAAGCGAAGCUCUUGAUCGAAGCCCCGGUAAACGGCGGCCGUAACUAUAACGGUCCUAAGGUAGCGAAAUUCCUUGUCGGGUAAGUUCCGACCUGCACGAAUGGCGUAAUGAUGGCCAGGCUGUCUCCACCCGAGACUCAGUGAAAUUGAACUCGCUGUGAAGAUGCAGUGUACCCGCGGCAAGACGGAAAGACCCCGUGAACCUUUACUAUAGCUUGACACUGAACAUUGAGCCUUGAUGUGUAGGAUAGGUGGGAGGCUUAGAAGUGUGGACGCCAGUCUGCAUGGAGCCGACCUUGAAAUACCACCCUUUAAUGUUUGAUGUUCUAACGUUGACCCGUAAUCCGGGUUGCGGACAGUGUCUGGUGGGUAGUUUGACUGGGGCGGUCUCCUCCUAAAGAGUAACGGAGGAGCACGAAGGUUGGCUAAUCCUGGUCGGACAUCAGGAGGUUAGUGCAAUGGCAUAAGCCAGCUUGACUGCGAGCGUGACGGCGCGAGCAGGUGCGAAAGCAGGUCAUAGUGAUCCGGUGGUUCUGAAUGGAAGGGCCAUCGCUCAACGGAUAAAAGGUACUCCGGGGAUAACAGGCUGAUACCGCCCAAGAGUUCAUAUCGACGGCGGUGUUUGGCACCUCGAUGUCGGCUCAUCACAUCCUGGGGCUGAAGUAGGUCCCAAGGGUAUGGCUGUUCGCCAUUUAAAGUGGUACGCGAGCUGGGUUUAGAACGUCGUGAGACAGUUCGGUCCCUAUCUGCCGUGGGCGCUGGAGAACUGAGGGGGGCUGCUCCUAGUACGAGAGGACCGGAGUGGACGCAUCACUGGUGUUCGGGUUGUCAUGCCAAUGGCACUGCCCGGUAGCUAAAUGCGGAAGAGAUAAGUGCUGAAAGCAUCUAAGCACGAAACUU
Molecule: ribosomal RNA, 2391 nt
Filed under: Escherichia coli
Lineage: Bacteria; Pseudomonadati; Pseudomonadota; Gammaproteobacteria; Enterobacterales; Enterobacteriaceae
Description: partial 23S ribosomal RNA
Rfam family: Bacterial large subunit ribosomal RNA
Source: RNAcentral